This is a long non-coding RNA of Etheostoma spectabile (orangethroat darter), 122 nucleotides long. RefSeq lists it as uncharacterized. The record is from RefSeq and is a predicted model, not a curated record. The transcript has 2 exons. NCBI's taxonomy places the organism in Eukaryota, Metazoa, Chordata, Actinopteri, Perciformes, Percidae.
UGUAAAGUCAUGUAAAAGUCAUGAAAAGUCAUGAAAAAGUCAUGAAAAAAGUCAUGGAAAAGUCAUGGAAGAGUCAUGAAAAAAUCAUGGAAAAGUCAUGGAAAAGUCAUGGAAAAGUCAUG